Oreochromis aureus is the source of this 558-nucleotide long non-coding RNA. RefSeq lists it as uncharacterized. NCBI's taxonomy places the organism in Eukaryota, Metazoa, Chordata, Actinopteri, Cichliformes, Cichlidae. The transcript has 3 exons. The record is from RefSeq and is a predicted model, not a curated record.
UGGCACAGCUAGCGACUGGGUGACUUUAUUCACCCGCUUCGGCUGUUAUCAGUCCAUACAAGGGGCGUUAUUAGCAGAAAUUAGUCCCAUAGAUGUGGGCCAUCUCCACCUGCUAGAUUGUUCAGAAGGUUGUUAUCAUCCAUCCAGAUGGAGGAUCACUAACAGGAGCGUGGGAAGACUCCAGAAUCCACUCUGGCUGGAAUCCGGUGGAUACAGCAGUGUUACAGACGGUCAUUGUGGGCUCCCGCUGCUGUCCCACACACCUGCUCAUCACCGCACCGGCCGCUGAUCCCAGCUGAUUACUGCACUACUUAAGAUGGCGAGUCUGCACUACUCUUCGCUGGAUUGUUGAGCUAUCAGCAUCGUUUUUGGAACCAGAUUCUGAGAGGAGUGACUGAGGAGGAGCUUUUGUACAGAAAGGGUGGAGCACCUUUUCCCCUAAUCCUGUUUCCCACGGACCCUGGCGACCCGGACCCGUUUCCCCUGCACGUUGUAUAUAGCUACUUGGUGAUUGUGUUCACUGUGAAUAAACGCACUGUUCUCAGCUUAAAGGAAAAA